CACACAGCCAGCUCCACCGUGACAGCAGCCCAGGGCUCCGUCGUCCCCAUCUCCACACCCUUAGGCCAAUCACAAUGAGCGUCUCCACAGUGCGGUGCCCUGGGACGCACAGCACUUAGCCAGGGGAGCCUGAGCCAGGGGAUCGCUGCCUCCUUCAGAGGGGAGGGUGGAGCCUGGAGAAGGGGAGAAGAGCCUGCGUGCCUCUCAACCCAAGCAGGCUCCACCCGCCCUCUGAAAAAUGGAUCUGGAAAGUUUACUUGGGCUGCAGUUUGGAAGGAGAAACAGAUUCCUGUGCACUGAGGCUUGGUACACCCUGGGGAUAAAAACCGAAGAAUAGCCAUGUAACCAUCCCAUCCAGUUGGCCCUGUGACCUGCAUUGGCCAAUGGGACACUAGCAAAAGUGAUGCAAGCAGGGCUCUGAAAGGUGCUGCGCACUGAGACUUAUUAUCCUGCAGCUUCUGGAGCCCUUCGACUGCUGCUGUUUGAAGAAGCCCAGGCUAGCUUAUUGGAUGGUGAGAGGGAUACGGCCUGGUCACCCCUAUGCCCUGGCCCUCAGCGUGCCAGAUGGGACCAUCUAGUUGCAGGGAAACAAGCUGGGGGCUCCCCUUGUUCUACAUUAUGAUAUGAUCCAUGGAUGCACAGAGGGCCUUUGUACUUUGCUGGAGAAAAGCGUGCACACUAGACAGACUCAUCUCCCAUGGAAUCUGCUGACAGAUCUCUCUGGGGACCCCUGGGCAGCUAUGUGUCCAGCACCACCAGUGGCUCCCCAUUUCUGUGUCUUCUUAGAAGAUCUGACAACCCAGCAUACCUCUUGCUGAUGUUAUGGAUCUGCUGGCUCUGUAAACUAUAAAUUGGCAAACUAGAUUAAUCAAAGAGGAAGCUUUCUGCAUGUGUGCUAACAGUCCCAACUCUCUAAUCUCACAAGGCACCAAUGUGACACUUCUUGCUAAAGAAUGUGGUUAUUAAUAUAUCUGUCUUUGGUUUUCUUUUCUGCUCUUGGAGUGGAAAGCCCCUAGAGAAAUAGUUCCAAAAAGAAUUUAUAAUAUACUUGCUGGAGAAAUAAGAUUUAAGAGGGCAGGCUUUCACAUCAAAGUUUCAGCAUAUGGUAAUGAAGGUUUCUGUUCAGACAGGUGGAGGAGGAGCUGCCUACAUUUCCUGCGGGGGGUGGAGGGGAAGUAGGCAUGGCGGUGAGUCCUGGGCUCUCAGACUUUGCUUAUCAUAUUGUAACAGCUGACCUUGGUCCCCUUUUUGGCUCUGUCUCUAACCCACAGGUCAGCCUAGGAUGUCACUGAUUCAAUUUAUUUCAAUGUCAGGUUGUCAGAUAUAAUUUACAUACAGUAACAUUCCGUUCCCCCUUUUCAGUAUGCAGCUCUAUACGUUGUGACAAAUGUAUGCCAUUCUAUAACCACCAUGAUGAAGACACGGAACAUUUCCAUCACCUCAGAAGUUCCCUUGUGCCCCUUGUAGUCAGCUCCUCUUCUCAGACCCACCCCAAGCUGGCAACCACGGGUCUGCUUUCUAUACCUAUAGUUUUCCUUUUUCAAAAUAUCAUAUAAAUAGUCCAUAGGCAUUUUAACAGCCAAGGUGCCUAAUAAAUAGUGCACUGUGACUAUCAUUGUUUUUCUUGAAUUAAAAAGCCCACCGUGGAGGUGGGUACGUGGAGCCUCUCCUAACUCCAGCUUCCAUAAGCAGACAUGUUUCAACAGAUAUCCUUUUCUUCUUUAACAGAUUCAUUGGGUUCAAAUUCUAGUACUGUCACUCAGUAGCUAAAUAUCUUUGGAUAUUUUAUUUCAAUUCUCAAUAACUUUGUUUUCUUAUUUGUAAAAUGAGAAUUUUAGAAUACCUAUCUUUGGAAGCAAACAAACAAACUAAAGUGAGGGACAACAAAAACAAAAGAAAAUUGCAUUGUUCUUGGGAUCUUAGAAAAUAGCAACAUGAAGUUACUUUAUUUUAAAAUUUAUUCAGCUGACAAUACAGGAAUGGCAUUCAAAGCAAGUUACUUAAAUUCUGUGUGCCUCAAAUUCUGUUGUGUAAAUUGGGGAAACAAGUGUACUUCCCUUAUAAGAUUGCUGUUUUGAUAUUAAAUGAGACAUGAUCCAUAUAAGGUCUUUUGAGCAACCUUAAGCUCAAAAGAAAAUACUCGAAAUAUGUGACUUGUCAGAAUUACAUUUGUAUUUAUGUAGCCCAAAUGCAGCAUACAUUUAAGAAUGCUUUAUAAUCUUGCUGCUGAAUUGUCCAUCAACUGAUAUAUUUUUCUUUCAAUUAUUUAUUCUAACUCAUGUGUCCUAAAAUUCAUCUUUUCAAAGUACACAUUUCAGUGGUUUUUAGUAUGUUCAAGAUGUUGUAAUCCGUCCCCAUUAUCUAAUUCUUGAACAUUUUCAUCACAAAAGCAACCCUGUGCCCAUUAACAGUUACUCCCCAUUCCACUCUCACAUCAGCCUGUGGAAGUCACUCAUUAGUUUUCUGUUUCUGUAGAUUUGCCCAUUCUUGGUAUUUCAUAUAAAAGGAAUCACACGGUAUGUGGCUUUUUGUGUCUGCCUUAUGUCACUAAGCAUAAUGUUUUCAAGGUUCAUCUACAUUGUAGCAUGUAUCCAUACUUUUUUCCUUUCUAUGGUUGAAUAAUAGUCUAUGGUAUAGAUAAUAUUACAUUUUGUUUAUCUGUUCACCAAUUGAUCCAACUGAUGGGCAUUUUGGUCAUUUCCAAUUUGGGGCUAUUAUGAAUAAAGUACCUAUGAACAUUUGUGUAUACAUUUUUCUGGGGGUAUGUUUCACCUCUCUCUUGGGUAGAUAACUAGGAGUGGAAUUGCCAGGUCAUUUGGUAGCUCUAUGUUUAACUUUUUGAGAAACUGACAAACUGUUUUCCAAUGCAGCUGUACCAUUUUCCAGUGCACCCACCAGCAAUGCAGGAAGGUAGCAACUUCUUCACAUCUACUCCAGCACUUCACUUGUAGUGGGCUAUGAUUUGUUCUGAUACCCAGCCUAGUGGCUAUAAUGUUAUAUCUCACUGGGGUUUUUAAUUGUGUUUGCCUAGUGAAAAAUGAUGUCGAGUAUUUUUUGCCUGUUUUUAAAUUGGAUUACUUGUCUUUUUUAUGAUUGAGUUGUAAGUGUUCUUUAAUGUCUGGGUACCUGUAAGAUACAUAUUUCCUCCCAUUCUGUGGGUUGAAUUUUCACUUUCUUCAUGGCAUCCAUUGAAGCACAUAAAAGAUUUGAAAAAGUCCAAUGUAUCUAUUUUUUGUUGUUUUUGUUUGUGCUUUUGGUGUCAUAUGUAAGAAAACAUUGCCAUUGCCUAAUCCGAGAUAAUGAAUAUGUAUGCCUAGGUUUUCUUCAUUUUCUUGUAAGAGUUUUAUAGCUUUAGGUUUGCAUUUAGCUCUUUAAUACAUUUUGAGUUAAUUUUUUAUAUGGUGUGAGGUAGAGUAUCUUGCAUAUGUAUAUCCAGUUGUCUUCCCACCAUUUAUUGAAAAGACAUUUCUGUCUCCAUUGAAUAAUUUUAGCACCCUUGUCAAAAGUUAACUGACCAUAAAUAUAAGGGCUUAUUUAUGGACUGUCAAUUCCAUUUUAGGGAUCUAUACAUCAGUCCUUAUGCCAGUUCCACAUUGUGUUGAUCACUAUAGCAUCGUAGUAAAUUUUGAAACUGAAAAGUGAGAGUCAUGCAACUUUAUUCUUCCUCUGUCUAGUUGUUCUAUCUAUUACUGAAAGUGGCAUAUUGAAG
RNAcentral lists this long non-coding RNA (3709 nucleotides) under Homo sapiens (human). RNAcentral's name for it is "HSALNT0265828". Lineage: Eukaryota; Metazoa; Chordata; Mammalia; Primates; Hominidae. The record is from RNAcentral.